Molecule: ribosomal RNA, 1392 nt
Filed under: Triticum aestivum (bread wheat)
Lineage: Eukaryota; Viridiplantae; Streptophyta; Magnoliopsida; Poales; Poaceae
Description: partial small subunit ribosomal RNA
Source: RNAcentral
AUGGCCAUUUCUCGAUCAGCACUGUCAGGCGGAGUGGCCCCGAAAGCUUUUCAGUUGCGCGCCUGGAUACAAGGUCGCGAGGUCCUGAUGCUUGUGGAUUCGGGCAGCUCUACUUCAUUCAUCAACCAAGAGCUCGCCAAAACGAUAGCGGGCACGCAGCAGCUGCCCCGCCCCUGCAGAGUACGUGUGGCAGAUGGAGGCGAAUUGCUCUGCACUGCGCAAGUGCCUCAAUGCGCAUGGACUACUCAGGGCAGUGAGUUUCGCACAGAUAUGAAGAUUCUAGCUCUGGGCACUUAUGAUGCAAUUCUGGGGAUGGAUUGGCUUGAAGCUCACAGCCCCAUGACAGUUGACUGGCGCGCCAAAUGCAUUCAGUUCAUGACAGCGGAGGGAGUGGCCUGUCUGCGCGGUCAUGAUUCUGACUCCCCUACUUGCCACUCCAUCAACUUCGUGCAGCUUCAGAGCAUGUGCAAAGCAGGGGCUGUGUCACAUAUCAUAUAUCUGUGCUUGGAGGAUCAGUCGUCGAACAAGAAAGAGGCUGUCCCAGCCUGUCUCCAAGAAGUACUGGCAGAGUUCCCAACUGUGUUUGGCGAACCAGAAGGACUGCCACCGAGGCAUGAAUGCGAUCACCGCAUUCCCCUAAUUCCUGGUGCGCAACCUAUCAACAUUCGUCCUUAUCGCCAUAAACCUGAUCAUAAGGAUGAAAUCGAUCGGCAAGUGGAAGAGCUUUUGAAGGCAGGCGUUAUUCAGAAGAGCUCCAGUCCGUUCUCCGCACCGGUGAUUUUGGUUAAGAAGAAGGACGGGACGUGGCGUUUAUGUGUGGAUUAUCGCCACCUUAACGCGCUGACAGUGGUGGGCAAGUAUCCAGUGCCAGUCAUAGAAGAGUUGCUGGAUGAAUUGCACGGCUCCCGCUGGUUUUCCAAGCUCGAUCUCAGAGCAGGGUAUCAUCAAAUUCGACUGGCUGAAGGAGAAGAGUACAAGACAGCAUUUCAGACUCAUGCAGGCCAUUACGAGUUCCUCGUGGUCUCAUCUGGAUUGGCCGGAGGCCCUGGCACGUUCAAUGGAGCAAUGCAUGGCACGUUACGGCUUGUCCUGCGUGAUGGAGUCCUGGUUUUCUUCGAUGAUAUCUUAGUGCACACUGAAACUCUGGAAGAACACAAGCUGAAGCUCAGAGAGGUCUUGGGUCUGCUACAGAAGGAUCAAUGGAAAGUUAAGGAAAGCAAGUGUGCUUUCGGGCAACAACAGCUCUCGUAUCUGGGACAUGUCAUCAGCGCAGAAGGGGUGUUGAUACGUCUCCAACAUAUCUAUAAUUUUUUAUUGCUCCAUGCUAUAUUAUCUUAUGUUUUGGACAUUAUUAGGCUUUAUUAUGCACUUUUAUAUUACUUUUGGGACUAA